CCUACGGGUGGCAGCAGUGGGGAAUAUAGGACAAUGGGCGCAAGCCUGACCCAGCAACGCCGCGUGAGGGAAGAAGGCUCUCGGUUUGUAAACUUCUUUUAUCAGGGACGAAGCAAGUGACGGUACCUGAUGAAUAAGCCACUGCUAACUACGUGCCAGCAGCCGCGGUAAUACGUAGGUAGCCAUCGUUAUUCGGAUGUACUGGGAGUAAAGGGCGUGUAGGCGGGAAAGCAAGUCAGAUGUGAAAACCAUGGGCUCAACCUGUGGACUGCAUUGGAAACUGUUUUGCUUGAGUACUGGAGAGGCAGACGGAAUUCCUAGUGUAGCGGUGAAAUGCGUAGAUAUUAGGAGGAACACCAGUGGCGAAGGCGGUCUGCUGGACAGCAACUGACGCUGAGGCGCGAAAGCGUGGGGAGCAAACAGGAUUAGAUACCCCUGUAGUC
This 443-nucleotide ribosomal RNA is filed under the name uncultured bacterium. RNAcentral's name for it is "partial 16S ribosomal RNA". It matches the Rfam family "Bacterial small subunit ribosomal RNA", at positions 338 to 795 of the family's 1533-position model. The record is from RNAcentral.